RNA transcript from Numida meleagris (helmeted guineafowl), 6602 nucleotides. It is a transcript of the gene named HHIP like 2, with no coding region annotated. The record is from RefSeq and is a predicted model, not a curated record. The transcript is spliced from 13 exons. NCBI's taxonomy places the organism in Eukaryota, Metazoa, Chordata, Aves, Galliformes, Numididae.
GAUGUUGAUUUAAAUGGCUGCUGGAAUGUAGUUCAAAAUCUACUCAGGGCUAGCUGUGGUAAUCAUAGUAAGUGGGAUGUCUCAACCUAGGAGCAAUGUGUGAUGGAUCAUGAAAGCAAGUUUCUAACUAUAAAUGUUGCAUAACUUGCUGUUUAUGACUGUUUUCCUGAAAUAUAUGGAAGUUUGAGAGGCCUGUACUUCAUUCUUUGCAUAGUAUAUUGGUUGUCGUGAAUGUAUACUGCAACCUGUUCACAUAGCUGAGGCAUUUCAACGUACUCCAAAUCAGUUUCACUGCCCUGUAUUUGUGAGUUGUGUCCAGUUCAGGGAAUGUCUUCACAUUGUUGAUAGGAGCCGAGUGAGGGUAGCAUUGCUGCUGUGUUGUGUUCACAGGGGAAAGCUGGUGUUGCAGUGCUUCAGGGAGGAAAGGCACAGAACUACUGAAAACUUUACUACCUGCAAAGAGGCUUGCUAGAACCUCUUCUGCAGUUUUGCCUUUGAGUUGAAAUACACACUGUUGCUGUGUUUGGAAAGCAAAUGUUAAUGUGUUGUCACAAACUAGCAUUCCAGUUCAUUUCAAAACAACAACAAAAAUGCUUCCAAGUACUACUUCUGUUUUAAUGACAGGUCUGUAGAACUCAGUUGGAUGGCCUGCUUGAGCCACCGCUGGGAUGAAUAAAGAUGUCUUUAACAGCAUAGUAGUACAUGGAUAAGUUCAGCUGUGCUUUUAAUAGAUGAGUGUUUAUCUGGGAGUUUAGUCUAGGUUAGUGUUGGGUCUUGUGAUGUGUUCUGAGUAUUUAAACAGUGCAAGCUACUUUCCAUAACUGCUUCUUUAUUUCUGGCUUUGUAAGAAGGCUGCUGCCUUGUUUUGUGAUGAUCUACUGUUUUGUUACAGAUCUUAAGCUGAAUUCUGACUGUUUUAAUUUAGACUGCUGUUUCAAAAUGCUCUGCCUCUACUGAAGUAUCCCACACCUCCAAGAAGCAGCUCCCUUUAGUCCAGAGGGUGAUCCAGAGAGCUAUGUGCAGCAAUCCAUCUUGAUGGGUUUUGUGCAUGGACAGUGGGGGCUAAGGCUUCCCUGGGAGGCAACUGGACAAGGGUGCCCCUUCCUUGGAGGAGUUCUUGGAGUUCUUGAUUUGGGUUCCUGCCUGCCACUGCGCUCCUCUAGACUUCAAAGUUGGGCCUUUGACAGAGCAGGUAACUCUCUUUAUCUCUGUGCUCGUAUGCAAAUGAGUUUAUAUCAUGUAACUUAGAAGAGUAGCAAAACUAGGUGCUAAUUCCCCUUUUGUCCCCUUAGCUGCCUGUGGGAAACAUGUAGGCUUUUCAAUAAAUAGGGGAAAAAAUGUGAGACAGCCGCAGAGAUUUGUGUGGCACUAAGGAGAGUGUGAGAACAAGAAGGAGCUUGACGUCUUUGAAAAAUCUGUUAAUCCACUGUGCUCACAGCUUUCUCCUGUGACCUUCUCUGGAAACAGGAUUGCUGCCAGGGAUCCUGGUCUAGCGACAGGAGGGAACUGCAGAGCUGCAGUCAGCAAGUGAAAGAUGAGCACGGCACUAGUUUUCACAUUACAAUCUUUAGGAUUACUUUCAUGUCUUACUGGAAAUCGCAAGUUUCUUUACAUGUAGUACUUGCACCUGGAAAAAGACAACCUGCAGAUCUCAAGUCCUGAGUGGAAUUUCCUGUUCAUGCUAUUGACUGCAUACUGUGUUUUCAAGCCUGUGCAUCAUACCUUGAAUAUGUUAACUCCUAGUGCAUUGGAAUAUUCUGCCUUGGCUCUGAAUUCUGUGGGCUAGGUUUGGUUUUCUUCUGAAUUAACUCCUCGUCCUGCAUACAAAACUUCUGUGAGGUGUUUGUUUCCCUUCUAUGAAGCAAGUAUCCUAUCUUUCCUUUACUCAUUUAUGUUGAGGCAAGGAACUUGCUAAGGGAAUCCAAGUCUUUUGGUCCACAUGCCUAGUGUGUGUUGUCCUUCUGUAAUUCCAUCUCUUGUUCUGGAAUUUUUAAUGCUCAAACUGAACCUGAUGACUUCACAAAAAUGCAACUCACUUCAGCUCUGCCCUCACCUUCUAUGUUGUUUUGUUCAUGUUUGUGAUGCUUCUGCUUUACUGUUCUAACAAUGUGUUCACCAAAGGUCAAGAAAAGCACAACGAUGAAAUACCAACGGCUUUUAAAUCAUGCUGGCCUGCUGUGUUCUGAUGUCUCCCUCCCCUCCUGCACACCAGGUUCUGUGCUGUGGGCAGCUGGCUGAUACCAGAAACUUACACAGACUUGGAUUUGCAUUUGGAGCAGUGUAGGCAUGUUGUAAACACUCAACAGGUGUUGACACUAAACAGGUGUAUACAGGUGUAUACAUUACCCUCGGACUAGUCCCUGCAGAAUCGGUGUUGGUGUGCUUUAUACUGCUUUGAAUUCAGAGUCAUUUGGGGCUUUCCAUAGUUGAUCUUAUAUGUGAUGGUAAAUGGUAAGUUCCACUUACUCCUGUCUUGUUGCAUCUAGAGUGAUAUGAGAUGGUAUGUUAGCCGAAGAAAAAAGAUAGCCCACUGCAAAGAGUGCUUGGGUAAAGCGAGCAGUAUGCUCUGUGGGACAUCAUGUUCUGUCCUUGUCUAAGUGUGAGUAAAACUGUUGUGGCUUUCUCACCUCUUCACGGGAGCAAUGUGGAGUGUUCUUACCUCUGCUACUGUGCAGUAACUUGGAAGUGCAGUUCUCUGCAUGUGUAAGUAUUCUGGGUAUUUUUGUCUGCAGAUGGCAUGUCUGUAGGAAAGGAAGAGGGAGGUUUAAGUUCUAGCAGGAAAGGUUUGAACUGGUGGACAAGUUUAGUUAACCCAAAGAGCUCAAUGCUGAAGGAAUGAAAAGUGGAGUGAGGCAAGUGCCAUCCUCAGAAUGCCAGGCUGAGGGCAGUGCGUGCAAGCACAGUGCACCUGCAUGUGCAGCUGAUGAUGUACUGCACCAGCCAACUGGAGGAAGCACAAGAGGGGAAAGUGGACAGAAAUCUAAUGUGAUAAACUGUUUUCAAGACACAUCACUAAAAUCAGUUAAGUACAGGGUUGCCACAUAAUAUUACAGUCAAUUUCAGGUUCUGGUACCUUAAGUGUGUUUUCUCCUUCACUCUUUCUGAAUAUCUUUCCAUGUUAAUUCCCACCUAGAUUUGUGGGUAACAGCAGUCCCUCUGUAAAAUGUUUUUAUCCUGGAAUGACUUGUACAUAUGGUCAGCUACUGCCUCAGUUUGGUUCUAAAUUAUUACUUAGCCCUAUUCAGUCUUUAUGAAACCAAAUCCAAGUAAAGUGAUAGAUAGCAAUUAUAAAUUAUUCAUCUUCUGUUUUGCAAAUGGAGAGAGGUUGUCCUGUGUGUAGCAGUCGUAUGUUACACUUUCAUGUUCAUAUUUCUUGGGGAAUGAUUUCUCAGUCAAUUUAACUAAGCUGUAGGGAUUAGAUUUGUGAGUGCUUCUAGGGACAUGAGAAAUGUCCAGAGGGGAGGGUUCAGCCAUGUGACGUGUGAAAUACCAAAGGGGCAGGCUGGAAGGUUUCUCUCCAGCCAAAUAGUAAACUUCAGAGAAAAAGGGAAAGAGAAUGUAAGCAAACCUGAGUGAGUGAGUGUUGAGCUCUGUGGAUGGCAAUUAAUAAAGCAGUGAGAAUGAAUGAACCAGAGGCCCAAGAUUUCUAUACAUCUGACCUCAAGAAGCCUACACUGAAGAAAGGGAAUGUUUGGCCAGACACUGGAAGGAGAAGCGACAGUUCUAGAGCUUCCUUUUCUUGCCCACAUGUCUUCCUUUGCCUCUGCUUGUUCUGCUGGAUAGGCAGUCUUCUGGGGCAUCCUCAGUGUCUGGACUACGGGCCACCUUUCCAGCCUCCUUUUCACCUGGAGUUCUGCUCUGCCUAUGAAAACUUUGGCUGCUGUGACCAGGAGAGAGACAAUAGCAUUGCAGCAAAAUACCGUGAGAUCCUGGAUUAUAUUGAUCCUCGGGGGCAUAAGCUGUGUGGAACAUACAUCAAAGAUAUUCUCUGUCAGGAAUGUUCUCCAUAUGCUGCACAUCUCUAUGAUGCUGAAAACCCACGGACACCUCUCAGGAAUCUUCCAGGACUUUGUUUUGACUAUUGCUCUGAGUUUCAUUUCAAUUGCCACUCUGCCAUCAGCUUGCUCACUAGUGAUAAGCACAUUCAGGAAUGCUGUGAGACGAAUAAGACCCGCUUCUGCAACCUCCUUCGCCUGCAUGACGAGGACUACUGCUUCCCCAAUGUGCUGAGGAAUACAGCCCUCAACCACAACCUGGGCUCAGUGGUGGAGGACCGCAGAGGCUGCCUCCAGCUCUGCCUUACUGAGGUUGCUAAUGGCCUGAGGAACCCUGUCCUCAUGCUGCAUGCCAAUGACCAUACCCACCGCAUCUUUGUAGCUGAGCAGGUGGGGAUCAUCUGGGUCUACCUACCUGAUGGCAGCCGGUUGGAGGAGCCAUUUCUGGAUAUUAAAAGUAUUGUGCUGGCGACGCCAUGGAUAGGGGAUGAGAGAGGCUUUUUGGGGAUGGCUUUCCACCCCAACUACAAGAACAAUGGGAAAUUUUAUAUCUAUUACUCAUAUAUGGAUAAGAAGCAAGUGGAAAAGAUCAGAAUCAGUGAAUUGAAGGUCUUGGCCUCUGAUGCCAACAAAGCAGAUCCCCACUCAGAAAGGAAUCUUUUAGAACUUGAAGAACCAGCUGCAAAUCAUAAUGGUGGGCAAUUGCUCUUUGGUGUGGAUGGCUAUCUGUAUCUAUUCACAGGAGAUGGAGGGAAAGCUGGAGACCCUUUUGGGAAAUUUGGGAAUGCUCAGAACAAGAGUGUUUUGCUGGGGAAAGUCUUGAGGAUUGAUGUGGAUGGAAGAAGUCCCGAUGGCAAGCCUUAUCGCAUCCCUCCUGAUAACCCUUUUGUGUCUGAUCCCAAGGCUCGCCCUGAGGUUUAUGCUUAUGGGGUCAGGAAUAUGUGGCGAUGUGCGGUUGACCGGGGAGAUCCUGCCACGAAAAAGGGAAGAGGGAGGAUAUUCUGUGGGGAUGUUGGACAGAACAGGUUUGAGGAAAUCGACAUAAUUGUUAAAGGAGGAAACUAUGGCUGGAGAGCAAAAGAGGGAUUUGAAUGCUAUGACACAAAGCUUUGCCGUAAUUCCUCCUUGGAUGACAUUCUUCCCAUAUUUGCUUAUGGCCGCAGUGUGGGGAAGUCGGUCACUGGAGGUUAUGUAUACAGAGGAUGUGAAUCGCCCAAUUUGAAUGGUCUCUAUAUCUUUGGUGAUUUCAUGAACGGUCGACUUAUGGCUUUACGGGAAGAUGAGAAGACAAAUAAGUGGAAGAAGCAAGAUAUCUGCAUUGGUAGCACAAAAGCUUGUGCUUUCCCUGGAAUGAUCAGAUCUUACAGUAAAUUCAUCAUCUCAUUUGCUGAGGAUGAAGCAGGUGAGCUGUAUUUUAUGUCUACUUCUUAUCCCAGUGCCUAUGCGCCACAUGGAUCUCUUUACAAAUUUGUUGAUCCUGCAAGGAGAGCUCCACCAGGGAAAUGUAAAUACAAGCCUGUAACAGUGAAAAUAAAGAGCAAACGGAUAGCAUUUGUUCCACGUGCAAAGACUGUCCUUGAGUUGCUUAAUGAACCUUCACCAACCAAGCGUCCGAAAAAAUCUUCCGCCCCCCCUGGAGCUGUCCCGACAGCUUUUUCUAAGAAAUCUAAAAAGAAGGCAUCCUCCAAAAUAAAAGCAUCAACAGCGAAACCAAAUCUGUCCAAUAAAAAGACACCAAAAACCAAGGCUGGUGGUGAACACAAGCCAAACCAGAAACAGAAGGUUGCAAGGGUCAACAGAACAACGCCAGCACCAUCUUUGCCAAAAAAGAAGAGCUCCCAACUACCUGGAGCCAAGAAGCUUCUCCCAAAGCAAGCUGCACAAGCUGAGGGAACUCUGGGAAGGAGGAGGAAGGAGAGUAGACGAAGCAGCAGCUUUUGAACCUCAUGGCCAUCCCUCAAACAAGCCAGUCACUUAUAAGAUCACUUAGAAGAUGGAUCACCACUUGGAAAGAGCCACGAUAUUGAGUCUUUGUCCUUACUCUGCGUGCUGGAAUGGGGCCUCGCUCUUUUGUUCUGCCUAUCUGGCCUUCAUCUGGAACUGCUGAUGUGUAGUAAAGAACGUGGCUGUGCAUUUGGGAGACCAGAACGAUGUGGAAUUCUUAUAUGAAUAACAGAUAAGUGAGACCAUAUGUGGUAUAAUAGGUUGUAUUCCCAUGAUGUUGCUCUUGGCACCUCUCGUAUCCUCUGAUUAAUCAGACAUCAGUAACUUCUAAUGGAAUUGAAAAGAACUGAAGCAAUCAAGCCACAGGAUACAGGGCGCUAUCUGAAGAAUUGCAUCUAAUCCGCAGCCGCCGAAAAAUGUUAUGAUCUUCAGAUCUCUCUUACUGAAAAAUGAAUGAAAAAUGAUUUGUUCUCUGCAGAUUUUUUUUUAUUGGGAAAGGGGAGGUGAAAGCAGGGUGGGAAGGAAGGGGGAAAACCUGUUUUCCAUCAGAAACAUUUUAGAAUGGAAAUUUCCAACCACUUCUAUAGUUAAUGAGGAAAUAGAACAUUUUGUUGCGAAGAUUUCAUUGGGAAACAAUUUCCGUUUUUCAUCAGAAAGCUCUCC